GAUGAACGCUGGCGGCGUGCCUAAUACAUGCAAGUCGAGCGAACAGACGAGGAGCUUGCUCCUCUGACGUUAGCGGCGGACGGGUGAGUAACACGUGGAUAACCUACCUAUAAUACUGGGAUAACUUCGGGAAACCGGAGCUAAUACCGGAUAAUAUAUUGAACCGCAUGGUUCAAUAGUGAAAGACGGUUUUGCUGUCACUUAUAGAUGGAUCCGCGCCGCAUUAGCUAGUUGGUAAGGUAACGGCUUACCAAGGCAACGAUGCGUAGCCGACCUGAGAGGGUGAUCGGCCACACUGGAACUGAGACACGGUCCAGACUCCUACGGGAGGCAGCAGUAGGGAAUCUUGCGCAAUGGGCGAAAGCCUGACGGAGCAACGCCGCGUGAGUGAUGAAGGUCUUCGGAUCGUAAAACUCUGUUAUUAGGGAAGAACAAAUGUGUAAGUAACUAUGCACGUCUUGACGGUACCUAAUCAGAAAGCCACGGCUAACUACGUG
This 497-nucleotide ribosomal RNA is filed under the name uncultured bacterium. Its description in RNAcentral is "partial 16S ribosomal RNA". It matches the Rfam family "Bacterial small subunit ribosomal RNA", at positions 28 to 507 of the family's 1533-position model. The record is from RNAcentral.